This 466-nucleotide ribosomal RNA is filed under the name uncultured bacterium. RNAcentral's name for it is "partial 16S ribosomal RNA". It matches the Rfam family "Bacterial small subunit ribosomal RNA", at positions 28 to 507 of the family's 1533-position model. The record is from RNAcentral.
GAUGAACGCUGGCGGCGUGCUUAACACAUGCAAGUCGAACGAUGAAGCCCAGCUUGUUGGGUGGGCUCGAGUCGCACGGGUGAGUAACACGUGAGUAACAUCUCCCUAACUCUGGGAUAAGCCUGGAAAACACGGUCUAAUAUCGCAUAUGAGCGCCUACGGUACGGGGGGUGUUGGAUAGAUUUUUCGGUUUUGGAUGGACUCGCGGCCUAUCAGCUUGUUGGUGGGGUAUUGUGUCUCCAAGGCGCUGACGGGUAGCCGGCCUGAGAGGGUGACCGGCCACACUGGGACUGAGACACGGCCCAGACUCCUACGGGAGGCAGCAGUGGGGAAUAUUGCACAAUGGGCGGAAGCCUGAUGCAGCAACGCCGCGUGAGGGAUGACGGCCUUCGGGUUGUAAACCGCUUUCAGUAGGGAAGAAGCGAAAGUGACGGUACCUGCAGAAGAAGCACCGGCUAACUACGUG